This 484-nucleotide ribosomal RNA is filed under the name uncultured bacterium. Its description in RNAcentral is "partial 16S ribosomal RNA". It matches the Rfam family "Bacterial small subunit ribosomal RNA", at positions 30 to 507 of the family's 1533-position model. The record is from RNAcentral.
AUUGAACGCUGGCGGCAUGCUUUACACAUGCAAGUCGAACGGCAGCACGGGCUUCGGCCUGGUGGCGAGCGGCGAACGGGUGAGUAAUAUAUCGGAACGUACCCAGAAGUGGGGGAUAACGUAGCGAAAGUUACGCUAAUACCGCAUACGAUCUAUGGAUGAAAGCAGGGGACCGCAAGGCCUUGUGCUCCUGGAGCGGCCGAUAUCUGAUUAGCUAGUUGGUGAGGUAAAGGCUCACCAAGGCGACGAUCAGUAGCUGGUCUGAGAGGACGACCAGCCACACUGGAACUGAGACACGGUCCAGACUCCUACGGGAGGCAGCAGUGGGGAAUUUUGGACAAUGGGCGCAAGCCUGAUCCAGCAAUGCCGCGUGAGUGAAGAAGGCCUUCGGGUUGUAAAGCUCUUUUGUCAGGGAAGAAACGGUAGAGGCUAAUAUCCUUUGCUAAUGACGGUACCUGAAGAAUAAGCACCGGCUAACUACGUG